RNAcentral lists this ribosomal RNA (517 nucleotides) under uncultured bacterium. RNAcentral describes it as "bacterial SSU rRNA". It matches the Rfam family "Bacterial small subunit ribosomal RNA", at positions 355 to 889 of the family's 1533-position model. The record is from RNAcentral.
UGGGGAAUCUUGGACAAUGGGGGCAACCCUGAUCCAGCCAUGCCGCGUGAGUGAUGAAGGCCUUAGGGUCGUAAAGCUCUUUCGCCUGUGAAGAUAAUGACGGUACCUACAGAAGAAGUUCCGGCUAACUUCGUGCCAGCAGCCGCGGUAAUACGAAGGGGGCAAGCGUUGUUCGGAAUUACUGGGCGUAAAGGGCGUGUAGGCGGUCUAAUCAGUCAGUGGUGAAAGCCCUGGGCUCAACCCAGGAAUUGCCUUUGAUACUGUUAGACUAGAGUUCGGGAGAGGAUAGUGGAAUUCCCAGUGUAGAGGUGAAAUUCGUAGAUAUUUGGAGGAACACCAGUGGCGAAGGCGGCUCACUGGCUCGAUACUGACGCUGAGGUGCGAAAGUGUGGGGAGCAAACAGGAUUAGAUACCCUGGUAGUCCACACCGUAAACGAUGAAUGCCAGUCGGUCGGGUAGCAUGCUAUUCGGUGACACACCUAACGGAUUAAGCAUUCCGCCUGGGGAGUACGGUCGC